This is an RNA transcript of Orcinus orca (killer whale), 11835 nucleotides long. It is a transcript of the gene named WD repeat domain 76, with no coding region annotated. Lineage: Eukaryota; Metazoa; Chordata; Mammalia; Artiodactyla; Delphinidae. The record is from RefSeq and is a predicted model, not a curated record. The transcript has 19 exons.
GUGUGCCGGGCAUAGGCCGAGGAGGAUGGGAGGACUUGCCACCCGGCACCUCCUGACUCUAAAACUUUCCUGCUCCUUGGGGCAUCUCUCAGUUUAACGGGUUUUUGGGGGUGUUGCUUUAAAAGAUAAGCGGGGAUGCCUGUCCUGGUUUUCCUCUGGAAAGUAGACCUUCAGCAUUGAGGAAGAUGCUUAUCAAUAACCCCCAAAAUAGUGUCUGGCUGGGGUCCGGAAGCCUGCAUUUGCUUUUGCAGUCGUUAUGGUCAGUUUCCCACUCUUGAAACAAUUCCAGUUACUCAGUCUCCUCAGUUACAAAUUGUCGUCAUUUUUUUUUUUUUUUUUUUUUUGCGGUACGCGGGCCUCUCACUGUUGUGGCCUCUCCCGCUGCGGAGCACAGGCUCCGGACGCGCAGGCUCAGCGGCCAUGGCGCACGGGCCCAGCCGCUCCGCGGCAUGUGGGAUCCUCCCGGACCGGGGCACGAACCCGUAUCCCCUGCAUCGGCAGGCGGACUCCCAACCACUGCGCCACCAGGGAAGCCCCUGUCGUCAUUUUUAUUAUUGGUCUGGCCGACUCAUGGGUGAAUGAAUAUAAGGAAAACCAAAACAUCGCUUAUGUGUCUCUGAGACCGGUACAGACUACAGUUUUAGGAAAAACAGCUAAGGUGUAUCUUGUUCCCUUUUCACUCAGUAGCUACAAGCCAGAUCAACUUAAGCGCUCCAAAUCCCUAUUAGAUAAGAAUUCUAACAAUGAAGUGGCAUGUAAGAAAUGUAAGAAGGCUGAAAUAAAGAAAACUUGCAGAAGGAUUUUAACCCCAAAGAUGGAAGCCACAUCUUCCAAGGCAGAAUCCACUCUGCAAAAAUCAUCCUUAGAUGUUCAUGCUGAAAGUAACAAGUGGCAAUACAAGAGCACUUCAGAUACAGUGAUUCUCAGUGCUGAUACAGAAAGCAGCCAGGAUGGAGACAGUGAUGAAGGUACCACACCAGGCAUGGAUGAUUUUUCAGGAUUGUCACCAUACGAAAAGAAGAGACUGAAGAACAUAUCAGAAAAUGCAAACUUUUUUGCUUCUCUUCAGUUGUCUGAGUCAGCUGCAAGACUCCGUGAAAUGAUAAAGAAGAGACAGCCUCCUGAAUCCAAAAGGUUGGACAAGAUGGCAAGAGUGGGCUGCUGUUGGGUAUUUCCCUUCCCCAGAAAGAAGCCUAAGAAGAAAGAAAAUGAGACUGGAUGUAGAAGGUCAAUGCGAUUACUAAAAGUUGAUCCUUCAGGAGUUUCAUUACCAGCAACUCCAACCCAGCCAAUAUUAGUAGCAGAUGAAAAUCCUUUGUUACCUCCUGGGCCUUUAGAAAUGACUUCUGAAAAUCGAGAUGAUAACAGUGAACUAUUUAAAGGAUUUCUGCAGACUUGGGCAGAAGUGAGCAAGGUGUCACUUGGGAGGACAAGAAGUAAAAACACUGAGAAGGAGUUAUCUAGCAUUAAAAGCUACAAAGCCAAUUUAAAUGGCAUGAUCAUUAGUGAAGAUACUGUUUAUAAAGUUACCAAAGGCCCAAUAUUCUCAAUGGCUCUCCACCCAUCAGAAAUUAGAACUUUGGUGGCAGCUGGGGCCAGAUCUGGACAAGUUGGGCUUUGGGAUUUGACUCACCAACCUAAAGAAGAUGGAGUUUAUAUUUUUCAACCCCAUAGUCAACCAGUUAGCUGUCUUUACUUCUCGCCUGCCAAUCCAGCUCACCUGCUGUCACUGAGCUAUGAUGGCACAUUACGCUGUGGGGAUUUUUCCAGAGCUGUUUUUGAGGAGGUAUAUAGAGAUGAAAGAAGUAGCUUUUCCUCCUUUGACUUCUUGGCAGAAGACGCCUCCACUUUAAUAGUAGGUCACUGGGAUGGAAGUAUGUCACUAGUGGAUAGGCGGACGCCUGGAACUUCUUGUGAGAAACUUAUCAAUUCUUCUUUGAGCAAAAUAAGAACUGUACAUGUCCAUCCAGUGCAUAGACAGUAUUUUAUCACUGCGGGAUUAAGGGAUAUUCAUAUUUAUGAUGCAAGGUGCCUGAAUCGCAGUAGAAUCAAGCCUUUGAUUUCUUUGACUGAACACACAAAGAGCAUCGCUUCUGCCUAUUUUUCACCUCUUACUGGUAACAGAGUAGUAACCACAUGUGCUGAUUGUAAGCUGAGAAUCUUUGACAGCAGCUGUAUAUCCUCGAAGAUUCCUCUUCUCACCACCAUCAGGCACAACACCAUUACUGGGAGAUGGCUGACCAGGUUCCAAGCUGUGUGGGACCCUAAACAAGAAGACUGUAUCAUAGUCGGCAGCAUGGCCCAGCCACGGCGAGUGGAAAUCUUCCAUGAGAGAGGAAACUUCAUCAGCUGUGCUAUUUAUAUCCCAUUCUACUUAACAGAGUUCUGUCUUCUUGAGGCGGUGCAGGAAGGAGAGAAGGACGGCUUACAAACACUGGUGCAGAAGCUGGACCAUCUAGAUUCUCCUUUGGGCUCUGAGACUGUGUGUAACCUUGGGAAAAUCAUUUCUUGGUUUUCCUCAUCAGAAAAAUGUGGUCCAAUUCAUCUCCAAAAUUAUUCCACACUUACAGCUUCUAAGUUCUUAAUAGUAUUUAUUUUGGGGGGAAGAACAAGGAUAAUAGAUGGCUAUAAACAAAAUGAUUAUUUUAAAUAAUUCCAGUCGCAGACAGCAGUCAGCUGUGUAAAUCCCACUGGUAUCCUUUUAUCUAUGUGUUGUUAAUUUUAAGGAGGAGAAAGUGAGAUAGGCUGUAAGUUAAAAAAAUAAAAAGAGUCCACUCUUCUAUGAUAUUUAAAUAUUUAUUUACGUUUAAAAAUAAUUUUCAUGGCACCAGUGAUUUUAUGCUAACUACAUACUGCAUAUGUAGAAAAAAGUACAUUGCUUUGAAGGAAAAUGUAACUUAUAAUUUUUGGCACACAAAAGGUUAACAACUAUAUAUAUUUUUAAUGAAACUAAGAAAUUCACAUUUGCAGGUAGUUUACCUUCUACUGCUUAAAGAUGCAGUACACUAUUCUUUAGUAAGAGUUUUAUUUCCUCUGAUAGAUGAAGCUGUGGAAACCACUGCUUUUUCUACAAUGAGAUCAAAACUAAUUUUGAGAGAAAAUAGAAGACAUAGUGGAACACAGUAAAAUCAGGUUAAAAACUUGAACAAUUUCUAAUGAUGGGGAGAUACCAAAAAAGACUAGUCACCAACAAAGGAAGUUUGUUAUUCAAGCACUAUUUGAAAAGCAAAUUGAAGGAAACUUUUCUAUCUGUAUUUUGUGGGAUAAGCCCUGGAAAAAAAUAACCCAAAAGUUUCUGUUCAGAGAGCAAAAUCCAGCUGUAGGAAGUGGCAUGGACUAUUGUACUGUUAGAACUCUAGACACAAGUACGUACCAGGAUAUGGAAUACUGCAUCUUUCUUUAAUGUGAAUAUGAAAGGUCAGAGUCGAGGCUAUCACUCACCGCAUAGAAACACCAUAUUCUACAGACUGAGGUAGGAACACUACACUAAAAGGUAAUCUGCUAUGUUGCAUAAGACAGUAGAUAUCCAGGUUAAAACCAGCCCCCUAUUUCCUGACAGCCUUUUCUUCUCCGAGUCUACUUUUUACUCCAAUCCUGUGCUAAUAAAGCCUUUCCUGUAGAUGACAAGUGGCAGUGGCUAGUUGGUUCUAAGCGAUCCCUAAUCUUUACUAGGCUCUCCCUCAUAUUUUGUCUUGUCACUUUGAAAAUAGAUGUUUGUAAUUCUGCCCAAAUUUUUGCUGGUAUGGAAAUGAUCAGACAGGCCCUCUUCCAUGCUUAGAUUCUGGCUGCGUUUUAGCAUUCCAGUGGUUGAUCUUGCUCAUCUUGGCAUCAGACAUCUCUUUGCUGGUUGGUUGUUCGAGCACCCUUUAAACAAGCAACCCCAGUGCCUCUACUGGGAAAUGAUCCCGGAUCUUUAACACAUGUCAGGAAUUGGAGCAGAGCUGACCCUCUUUCUGCUUACACACUGGUAAGGAGCAGUGUUAUUGUCUAGAUCGGGGUUGGCAGAUUAUGGCCUGUGGGCUAAAUUCAGCUCACUGCCUGUUUUUAUAAAUAAAAAUGUUAUUGGAACACAGCUUUGCUCCUUUGUUUAUGUAUUACCUAUGGCUGUUUUGUGAUAAGAUGGCGGAGUUGAGUAGUUGCCAGAGUAUGGCCCACAAAACCAAAAUAAAAAAAUAUUUACUAUCUGGCACUUUACAGAAGAAGUUUGCCGACCCCUGGUCUAGAUAAAAGGGCAAUUAAAAUUUUGAAACACAGCACCACCCCCAACCUUAAAAAAGGAAAAACUCCGUUUAUCCAUGGCUAUUAGAUUCUAUAUAUGGACAUGGUUCUGCUGUCUCAGAGGACAAACUAGGGGAAAGCAGAUCUACAUGUGACUCAUUCUGUUCUGCAUUUGAGGCUCCCCAGCAUCAUAGGGUGUCAGCAGCUGCUCCACUGUUAUGUGGGUCCCAGGAAUAUGUCCACUGACUGUCCUUACGUAAGUCCUCAGGCCCCAGAUGACUUAGAAAUCUCUCCCUGAGAUGAAAACAAGAUCUUGUGUGUGAGUGGUUGUAAGAGUUGCAGAGCUUGGGCCUCGGACCCCACACUCACCCUCCACAUGCUGCUCUUCUGCAUGGAGCCUCGGCAAGGAUGGUAAGUGCUUUCCUACAACUUUCAUUUUCCCAGUGCAGAGGAUGACGCUAGGGGGCAGUAUUUCUACAUCUAAGUCUUGGUCUCUGCCACAUUCACCUUCUUUUGUAGGCAUCUCUUAGAACUCCUAUUUAAAGAGAUUCUUUUCCUGGUCCCUUCCCAGGCUGUUUGUUGAUCUUGGAAUUCUAUUUUCUGAAGCUUUUUAUUCUCAGGAUCAGUUUCUUCCUUGUGUCGUUUAAGUUCGUCAGGCUCUAUUUUUCUUAAUCCAUAAAGUAAAAACAAAAUAUGAAUUGAUAAGAAAAUACAUUUUGUUGUUAAAAUAUAAAUUGAAAUAGUCUUUUUUGGGGGGGAUGGUGUUGUACAAAAUAAGUACUGCUCUGUGACCUCAACGGUCUCUCAGGUACCUUAGCUCUGGUUUCUGUUAACUACACUUAGUCCUGCAUUUCUGACAGUUCUAUCCCUGGUACCACCGAAUUCACCUAAUGCUUCUGGAGCACUAUAAAAGUCUUGAGGGUCUUCAGAAAAAACCCCCACAGAAGUCUAAGUUCAUUAUACAAAACUCAUGGUGAUGCCCACUAGGAUCUAGUCUAAGGGGACAGACUUACCCCACCCCUGCUGCUGCUGCUGCUGUAGUGGUGGUCCCUUCAGAUGCCCACUCUGCUCAGAUUUGAAAGAAAUAAAAGGAAAAGAAAAUCCAACUCAGACCGUCAUAAGAAGCAACUUUCCAUUUAAUCAUUCUACACGGAUGUUUACUUUUUUUUAAAAGCUCUGUCUGGGAAGAAAACCUAGACAGUCCCCAUUGUCCAGAACCCUGGCUUGCCCCGCUGAGGCUGCAGUGAUGAGUCUACUGGAACUGAGUAGGAAAGCUCCUGCAGAAUACAGAAGACAACAGCUCUCUAGUCUCCAACUAGUGUCCCAUCUACUAGGUGACACUACUGCGAGAAUCAGUAAUAAUAAAAUAAAUUAUUUUUGAUAUUUUCAAAAUAAUACACAUCUAUGAAAAAUCAAAAUUCAAAACCAAAAAUUUUAUCCUGCAAAUUGGGAGGAUGAGAAACAGAGUCGCCGAGCCUUUCUUGAAAGAACCUCUGAAGGAAAUGAGUUUUCCCAGUUAGUUUAGACAAGGCAUGAGCCUAUCCCUUUCUUCUUCUGGGAAACGACCCUCCUAGGCUGUGGACUUUGAGUCAUGAGAGGAGGACUUGGUACAUGUGCCGAUGGUUCCGCGAUGGGUCCCAUUGCUGGGAAUGGGUAGCCGGGCUCCUUGGUCCACCUGGCUAGUUAUUGGGAGGAUUCAUGCCUUCUCAGGUGUCAGUGAGCAGGCUCACCACUGAGCGGAUUUUGCAGGCAAACCAUCGCCUGAGGGGACAAAAGUAUUGAUAGUGGAAUUGUUCAAACUCGGGGGUCUGGCGGAUAUCGCGGAAAAAGGCAAUGUCAAGGUCGGACUCGGUAAGGAUGAUCAGGAGGAGGAGCAAAACAAAGAGGAGUCCCAUGGUCACAAGGAGCAAACGGAGGACACUUAAAACAAACUUAUUCACCUGUUCCUCCUCUGGCCUGCCGUGCCCCUGACACAGGGCCCUCAGCUCUCCCCCAAGGGCCUCCAUCUCUGCAGCAGUUGGGGUGCUGGCCUCACACUCCUUCUCCUCCUCAAUGCUGCAGGUGGCCCCAUUGAUCUGCCGGGAAAGCAGCAUCAGCUCCAGGCUGUGCUCGGCCACAGGGGUGGGCAGCACACUGUCUGCAGGGCUGUAGGCCUCAUCCGCGAUCACGGCGACUCGCUCAUUGCUGUCUGCCCGGCUGCUUCUCACGUGAGGCAGGAAAGUGUCCCCGUGGGAGGAGGGCUCAAAGCUCUAGUAGGGAAGAACAGGAGCUGGUUACCCCCCCUCAACCAAACAGCAGCCACCCAGGCCAGAGGAUGUCAGAGCUCAGAGUCACCAAGUGUGGCCCAUGUCAUAGUGCUCCCAAGGAAAUGGCUUCUUGUUUUCAAGUUCAGUGUCUGUAUUUUCUACUCCUGGCCAUAUUGGUGGUUCCAGAGUGGCUCUCCCUGCUUUUGUGGUCCACAUCAAGAGAAGCUCGUCCCCUUCUGUUGCUCUGAAAUCGACCCUGACUGCCCCAGACAGCUGGACACCCAGCUAGUAAAGGCUUGAUGAUCCCUGCACUGAUAGAGCCGCUCAACUGCUAAAAUCUUGUAUUUUUUUUCACAUCCAAACCAGAUGUCCAUCUGCCUCUCCUCACCCUGAAUUACAUUCUGCUUGUGAGUUUCAUUCCUGCCAGGGCAGUUCUGAGCUUCUACCCACGCUCUUCUGAGUCUAAUGGGCCUCGAGGGCCAUGACCGGGGAUGAAGACUGUGCUUGUCUAUAGGCACCACUGGGCAUGGGGUGUAAGGAGCACGUUGGCUUGGGGAGUAGCACAUGGAGGCCUGCUGUGUUAUAAUCUGCCAGGUGUGAAGUUCUGAGCCUAAGCUUUUGAGGCCGUGCCCUGGCCCUGGGGUGGGGGGGUCUCUGCUCUAAUAGCUUUCUGCACCCUCCCCUGGCAUUUUGUAAGCAUGGGUGACAGUUUUGGAUGUUGAGGAGCCUACUGCUGCUACAAUGGGAGAAGACAGGUUCUGGGAGGAGGCUGAAGGCACAGCCAGAGCUGGUGGGGAACUGAGGCAGCCUCACAGCUCGUCUUGGGGGAGCUUGAGGAUGGUUCUCCCCACCUCUGAGUUGUUUUGCUAACCCUGCUUGGCAGCUACUCCAAAUGAGUUAUAUCCCCACAUGGAUGGCCUCAGUCUUCCCUCUUCUGGGAAUGCUGGUUUUACUGGACAUUCUUCCAUAUGCUGGGGAGCAGUAAUGCCUGAGGCUGCUCUCCUAUGCGAUACCUGCAUUAGGGCCAGCUUCCCCCACGGGGUGGCCUUUUCUCUGGGAGGACAGCUGUCCCGACUUUCUACAAGAGCCUUGGGAUGAACCUGGUGGCUUCAGCCUCAGGACAGACGGGAACAAGGGCCACAGAGAGGGGAGAAAGUUAUGUUUCCUCAAAAGAGGAGAAGACAGUCCAUUUUCCUGAGAUGCACACCCCAAAAUAAGAGAGCUGGGCUCACUUCUCCUGCUCAGCCUAAGAUAGGAGGGAAAACCAGGGGGCUGUGUCUGAUGAUGGCCAGCCCUCAAUAAUUCCAUACCUUGCAUAGCCAUUAUACUUGGGAGUUUCCAAGGCACCUUCCCCCACCCCCCACCCCUUUCUACAGUGGGGGCAACAGGCUCAGAGAGGUUAAGCAACCUGCCCAGAAAAUGUGUGGCAGAGCUCCUAUUUUGACCUCAUCCUUGACUUCCUGACCAGGGCUCUUUGCAUUGUGCUUGCUGCCUACCCAGUAAACGCUUUCAUCUCUUUAAAGUACUUGCAUGUACAUCAUCAGCUUCCUUGAAACCCAUGGGGUUUUACAAAUGGAGCAACUAAGGUACUCACAUAAAUAAGGCCUUUGAUCAUGGUUCUCUCCCAAAGGUUUAGUCUAAUACUCUCAGAUCUACAAACCCCUCUUGGACCACAGCUCAUCAGGGCUGGAUGGGAUUACCCUUCACCUGACACCCAGCUGGUGUUCCCAUUGACUGGAUGAAACAUUCUCCCUACCAUUGGAGAAACUUGCUGCUGUCUCUAGUGCAAAUUCACUUCUUUUCAAGGUCCCUGUGAGGAACCGGUCCAGGUGACAACUUGGAGGAACCCCAGGUCAUCUCCAGAACUCAUGCUCACCUUCCAUGAUGGAGAUGUGAACAGCUCUUCUCCGGGUCCUAGGGACGCUGCUCAGCCUUGGGCCAUGGGUUAUGGAGGGACAGCUGCGGCUGGGGACCAUCCCUGCUCUGAGGUUAAAGAAAAAAAGAAUUCUGUUAGUGCACUGACAAAUGUGGUCAGGACUCAGAGUUGAGGACUGGUUACUAGAAUUGCCUGAGAAUUGCCUGGCUGUGUUAAGGUUUGUUUUGUUUUUAAAAAUCUUUAACACCUGCUUUCUGCCUUUAGUCCCUGAAUCCCAGUCAGAGACACUACUUCAAACUUGUCAACCUCCUUAUAUCCCAGACCUACCCGAACCUUUCUUUAGUGUGGCAGUGGUGCCACUGGUCCCUGGGCAGGAUUGUCAGAGAGUAGAGCCCCAGGAUAUGCGGUGCUCCUAAAAAUGUGCCUAAGACUGAUAUGCGGCCUCCCCUGACUUCCCACAGAGGGCAGGGGGGUCCGUGUGAAGGCAGGUAGUAAUGCUCCCAUUCCCAGAGGUCAGUCUGGUUGGCAAACCCCAGACCUUUUGGCCAAUCAUAUUCUCCCUCAUUCUUACCAGGUUUUAGGAGAUGGCCUCCUGGAAAUUUAUGAUUUACAGUUACACAUAAAGCAUGGAUCCUGAAACUAUUUCAGACCUAGUGUGAGUGGCGUCCUGUAAUGCACUGUUUCCAGAGCCAAUGAAAUCUUGCGGCUUGGGCAUGUCCUCCAAGGUCUAUGACCAAUUUCAGGACUUGGGAUGAUGGUAGAGAAUUACCCAGGAAGGUGGCUCCUGGGUCUGAUGUACUGUCUGCAUUAGCCCACCUUCCCUCAUUCUCCAGGGUCAUCCUGUUCCCAUGCCUUUGACUGAGAUGGGUCUCUUCACCCUGCUGCCCUGUUUGGAAGCCAUCAUGGCCAGAAUCUUCACAGUACUCAAACUGCUGGCUCUUUUAAGAGUCCGAGAUCUGAGCUGGACCUGGUCGGGGAUAAGCCCCUGGUGCCUACCUGUGUAUUUCUGGUGGCUCCCGUUUGAUCUUGGCACUGGACUCCAUCACUUCCUUUGCAACUCGGCCACUAUAAGUAGUAUAAAUAAAACAAGCAGCAAGAAAUGACACAGUGUUCCAGGACUGAGCUCUGUAAGAUCUCAGAUACUUGAGCUGAAUUGGGAAGUGGCCUCUUUGGCCUACCCCUUCUCAAUGUUUAGGCCACUGAGUAGGGCUUGCUUGCUGGGGUAAAGAGCUCUAAGGCGUCCUGACAGCUCUCUGUCUCUGCGGUCUUUGGGAUCUUCCAUCCUCAUUUAGGAAUGAUUCCUCAUUGUCCAGCGUGUUCCAGAAAUAUUGCAAAAAAAUGAAAUCUUUAGAUAGAAAUGAAAGGAAUCACUCUUACAGUUCUUAUUUUGCUGCUUUUGUAAGGGCAGGAGAAGACACACAUUUUAACCCCUACAGGCAAACAGCUGCAGGGAAGGAAAGAAAUAGUCAAAAGGUUAGGAGACAGGAGAAUCGGAUGGAAACCUCACACUUCUCUGGAGGUUCCCAGUGUCUUUGUUCUCAGGAUAAGGACCACUGGGCCACCCUUCUCCAGAGAAGGGUCUGAAAAUAGGUCCAUAACGGUUACUUACUGUCACUAUUUACCUGUAUCGGAACCGGCUCCCUUUAAAGAAUAAAUUGCUGCUGGACACUGUGCGGACUUGGCUUGACUUCUCCAGCCUGCAGCAAGGCAAAGUCCAGUGUGAGAGAUGGUCUGCAAUGCCUUACAGCCUAAAGCUGUGUCCCCAGCUCCUUCCAAAGGCUACUUGAAAAAACCCCUCAGGAAAAGGCCCUUCACAGCCCUGCUUGUCUCUGACUCCUUUAGCACCUGAGGGCCGUGUUCACGGUCUCAGUGCUAUGGACAGGCAUGCUGCAAUCCACUUCCACGUUAGGAGAGUGAGGGCUCCCCAAGAGUGCCUCAUGGGUUCACCAUGGGGACUGAGAGAAUAAAUGUUAGGGAAAGAGAAUGCCACCUGCUGAAUCUCAGCCAGGCCACUGGUUAGCAGUGUGACCCUGGGCAAAUUUUCCCUCUCUUAGCCUCAGUCUUAUCUAUAAAAUGGUGGAGCUGGGACUGCUUGACCUCAGGAGUCCCUUCCAGUCCUAGUAUUUGAGAAUUCACGUCCAUGUCUGGGUAACUGUGGGUGGAGAAGAGAGUAGUGCCCUUCCUAUUCCAUCUCCUUCUUGGAGCGAACCUAAAGUAUAUUGUCACAUUAGAGACUCUGAGAAGUCGUGAAAUGAAGAAACUAGCUGAACUUUAAUAAAAGUUCCACCAUUUGUUUGAACUUGGAACCAUUUGCCCUCCCCCAGAAAGCCCAUUAACACCACUUUCAAGGCUGUGAACAGCUGAGGUGGAGACUCUGGAAGCCACCCUUGAGUGACUGCUCUGAUCCCUGUACUCCUCUCACUUAGAAAGGGAAGCAUGGGCAGAGCUGCCCAGAUUGAAUCUCCUAAGACCUGACCCCAUCCACAACACGUCCUGGGUGCCUGUAGUGCUAACCCAGCUGGGAACCGAACUGGUCUGAAGCCUUUGUUCUGAGCGGGCAGUGAAUAUUUAGGGAGUUGUCCCUAUAAUCCAUGAACAGCAGGUGCUGGGGACACCAUCCCCACCUGUCUCAGGGCUCCAUGAGGCUCUGAGCCUACUUACUCUCCUGUCUGAGCACAUUCCUUUUCUUUUUUUUUUUUUUUUUUUUGGUUUAAAAUAUUUAAUACGUGUUAGACACGUAAAGUUAUUUUUUUCUGAGCACCUUCUUGAGCCUGACCGGCUCCCUUCAAAGCACUAGGCCAAAAGCGGGGCAGGGAUCUGCCCAUGACAGACACUCUGAGUGAGGCCAAAGUGGCUCCUGCUAGCGACUUGGCAUAAAUGAGGGUCUGACCCAGGCUAGAGGCUUUUAACACCUAAUUAGUAGUCAUGGAGAACAGUGAAAAGCGGCCUUGGUUUCCAGUGUGGAUGUGGGCAAUCUGUUAAGGAAAGACUCAGAAACUGAGUUUGGUCACAGGCUCAGAAGCACAAUUCUGUUCCCAUGGCUCAGACGGAAAAACAAAGGAGGGCCUCCAGAAAUGGUGCUGAAAUGUUUUCUCGGCUUUCCUUGGACAGCCAGGGACUGAAUAGGAGGGAAAGGUGACCACAUGAAAGUCUUCCGAGUGUCUUCUCCAUGAGAAGAAAGAAGCCCACUCAGCAAAAGAAUCUUACUCUGUGCUUCCUGGAGGCAUGGAACCUCUGAGGGUCACCAGCAUCCCUGAGGAAGUCCCUAUGCUCCAGGACCUACAGCCACCUGUCGUCAUCUCAUGUCUCCUCACCUCCAGCCUUGAACUUGUUCCCGGCUUGACAUGCAGGGGGCUUAGCUCUGCCUGGAUGGACCACUUUGGUUCAGCCCUGGCCAUCAGGACCCACCCCAGUGCCCCAGCCCUCCCUGAAGAGAAGGAAGCCAGCACUCACCUCUUUCUGACUUACGUACAAAUAAAAAGUCUUUCCUUCAAA